Molecule: ribosomal RNA, 257 nt
Filed under: uncultured bacterium
Lineage: Bacteria
Description: partial 16S ribosomal RNA
Rfam family: Bacterial small subunit ribosomal RNA
Source: RNAcentral
GUCCACGCAGUAAACGAUGAUUACUAGCUGUUUGCGAUACACAGUAAGCGGCACAGCGAAAGCGUUAAGUAAUCCACCUGGGGAGUACGCCGGCAACGGUGAAACUCAAAGGAAUUGACGGGGGCCCGCACAAGCGGAGGAACAUGUGGUUUAAUUCGAUGAUACGCGAGGAACCUUACCCGGGUUUGAACGUAGGGAGACAGUGUGGAACAUCCUUUUCAGCAAUGACUGCCUACGAGGUGCUGCAUGGUUGUCGU